This 1243-nucleotide ribosomal RNA is filed under the name metagenome. RNAcentral's name for it is "bacterial LSU rRNA". It matches the Rfam family "Bacterial large subunit ribosomal RNA", at positions 1564 to 2815 of the family's 2925-position model. The record is from RNAcentral.
UGAAUACGAGAUGCUACGGCGUCGAAGCAGUGUAUGUCAGACUUCCAAGAAAAGCUCGCAAUGUCAUAAAUAAAGAAUGCCUGUACCAUAACCGACACAGGUGGGUAGGUAGAGUAUACUAAGGGGCGCGAGAUAACUCUCUCUAAGGAACUCGGCAAAAUAACUCCGUAACUUCGGGAGAAGGAGUGCCUUCUUUAAGAAGGUUGCAAUAACAAGAUCCAAGCAACUGUUUAUCAAAAACACAGGUCUCCGCUAAGUCGUAAGACGAUGUAUGGGGGCUGACGCCUGCCCAGUGCCAGAAGGUUAAAGAAGUUGGUUAGCUUUUGCGAAGCUGAUGACUGAAGCCCUGGUGAACGGCGGCCGUAACAAUAACGGUCCUAAGGUAGCGAAAUUCCUUGUCGGGUAAGUUCCGACCCGCACGAAAGGCGUAAUGAUUUGGAUACUGUCUCGGAGAGGGACUCGGUGAAAUAGACUUGUCUGUGAAGAUGCGGACUACCUGCACCAGGACAGAAAGACCCUAUGAAGCUUUACUGUAACUUGAAAUUGAAAUUGGACUUUAUUUGCGCAGUAUAGGUGGAAGGCGUUGAAAGUAAUCUUGCGGGAUUAGUGGAGCCAUCAGUGAGAUACCACUCCUAUAAUGUUAGAUUUCUAACUUUGGAUCAUGAUCUGGUCAAAGAACAGUUUCAGGCGGGCAGUUUGACUGGGGCGGUCGCCUCCCAAAUGGUAACGGAGGCGUACAAAGGUUUCCUCUGAACGGGUAGAAAUCGUAUCUAGAGUGUAAAGGCAUAAGGAAGCUUGACUGUGAGACCUACAAGUCGAGCAGGGACGAAAGUCGGUCUUAGUGAUCUGACGGUGCUGAGUGGAAAGGCCGUCACUCAACGGAUAAAAGUUACUCUAAGGAUAACAGGCUGAUCUCCCCCAAGAGUUCGCAUCGACGGGGAGGUUUGGCACCUCGAUGUCGGCUCAUCGCAUCCUGGGGCGGUAGUACGUCCCAAGGGUUGGGCUGUUCGCCCAUGAAAGCGGUACGCGAGCUGGGUUCAGAACGUCGUGAGACAGUUCGGUCCAUAUCCGGUGUAGGCGUUAGAAUAUUGAGAGGAGCCUUCUUUAGUACGAGAGGACCGAGAAGGACAUACCUCUGGUGUACCAGUUAUCGUGCCAACGGUAAACGCUGGGUAGCUAUGUAUGGAGAGGAUAACCGCUGAAAGCAUCUAAGUGGGAAGCCCACCUCAAGAUGAGUAUUCUC